CCUACGGGUGGCAGCAGUGGGGAAUAUUGGGCAAUGGGCGCAAGCCUGACCCAGCAACGCCGCGUGAAGGAAGAAGGCUUUCGGGUUGUAAACUUCUUUUCUCAGGGACGAAGAAAGUGACGGUACCUGAGGAAUAAGCCACGGCUAACUACGUGCCAGCAGCCGAGGUAAUACGUAGGUGGCAAGCGUUAUCCGGAUUUACUGGGUGUAAAGGGCGUGUAGGCGGGAAAGCAAGUCAGAUGUGAAAACCAUGGGCUCAACCUGUGGCCUGCAUUUGAAACUGUUUUUCUUGAGUACUGGGGAGGCAGACGGAAAUCCUCGUGUAGCGGUGGAAUGCGUAGAUAUGAGGAGGAACACCAGUGGCGAAGGCGGUCUGCUGGACAGCAACUGACGCUGAGGCGCGAAAGCGUGGGGAGCAAACAGGAUUAGAUACCCGUGUAGUC
Molecule: ribosomal RNA, 443 nt
Filed under: uncultured bacterium
Lineage: Bacteria
Description: partial 16S ribosomal RNA
Rfam family: Bacterial small subunit ribosomal RNA
Source: RNAcentral